RNAcentral lists this ribosomal RNA (490 nucleotides) under uncultured bacterium. RNAcentral's name for it is "partial 16S ribosomal RNA". It matches the Rfam family "Bacterial small subunit ribosomal RNA", at positions 30 to 507 of the family's 1533-position model. The record is from RNAcentral.
AUUGAACGCUGGCGGCAUGCUUUACACAUGCAAGUCGAACGGCAGCGGGGUAGUGCUUGCACUACUGCCGGCGAGUGGCGAACGGGUGAGUAAUAUAUCGGAACGUACCGAGUAAUGGGGGAUAACCAAUCGAAAGAUUGGCUAAUACCGCAUACGUCCUGAGGGAGAAAGCGGGGGAUCGCAAGACCUCGCGUUAUUCUAGCGGCCGAUAACUGAUUAGCUAGUUGGUGGGGUAAAGGCCUACCAAGGCGACGAUCAGUAGCGGGUCUGAGAGGACGAUCCGCCACACUGGGACUGAGACACGGCCCAGACUCCUACGGGAGGCAGCAGUGGGGAAUUUUGGACAAUGGGGGCAACCCUGAUCCAGCCAUGCCGCGUGUAUGAAGAAGGCCUUCGGGUUGUAAAGUACUUUUGUUAGGGAAGAAAAGGGAAGUGCUAAUACCACUUUUUGCUGACGGUACCUAAAGAAUAAGCACCGGCUAACUACGUG